GACGUAGGGGGCGAGCGUUGUCCGGAAUUACUGGGCGUAAAGAGCACGUAGGCGGGUGCUUAAGUCAGGUGUGAAAGACCGCAGCUUAACUGCGGGGUUGCACUUGAAACUGGGCAUCUUGAGGGCAGGAGAGGACAGUAGAAUUCCUGGUGUAGCGGUGAAAUGCGUAGAAAUCAGGAGGAAUACCAGUGGCGAAGGCGACUGUCUGGACUGACCCUGACGCUGAGGUGCGAAAGCGUGGGUAGCAAACAGGAUUAGAUACC
Molecule: ribosomal RNA, 263 nt
Filed under: uncultured bacterium
Lineage: Bacteria
Description: partial 16S ribosomal RNA
Rfam family: Bacterial small subunit ribosomal RNA
Source: RNAcentral